AUUUAAAUAGUGUAAAUUUAAAACACCUAACAUUUUCAUUGUUACAAUUCCUUUUUGGAUUUAAAUU
This 67-nucleotide transfer RNA is filed under the name Amblyomma triguttatum (ornate kangaroo tick). RNAcentral's name for it is "tRNA-Glu". The record is from RNAcentral. Lineage: Eukaryota; Metazoa; Arthropoda; Arachnida; Ixodida; Ixodidae.